GAGCUAGUGUGCUGUAGUGGUUAGAGUGUUGGAUUAUGACUCUGGAGGCCAGGGUUCAGUUCCCUUUUUGGCCA
This is a non-coding RNA of Phrynosoma platyrhinos (Desert horned lizard), 74 nucleotides long. The record is from the annotation of a GenBank genome assembly. NCBI's taxonomy places the organism in Eukaryota, Metazoa, Chordata, Lepidosauria, Squamata, Phrynosomatidae.